This 252-nucleotide ribosomal RNA is filed under the name uncultured bacterium. Its description in RNAcentral is "partial 16S ribosomal RNA". It matches the Rfam family "Bacterial small subunit ribosomal RNA", at positions 525 to 776 of the family's 1533-position model. The record is from RNAcentral.
ACGGAGACCUCGAGCGUUACUCGGAUUUACUGGGCGUAAAGGGUGAGCAGGCGGCCAAGUGUGUCAGGUGUGAAAUCCCGGGGCUUAACCCCGGAACUGCGCCUGAAACUACUUGGCUAGAGUCUCGGAGAGGACAGUGGAAUUCUAGGUGUAGCGGUGAAAUGCGUAGAUAUCUAGAGGAACACCAGUGGCGAAGGCGACUGUCUGGACGAGUACUGACGCUCAAUCACGAAAGCGUGGGUAGCGAAAGGG